RNAcentral lists this ribosomal RNA (253 nucleotides) under uncultured bacterium. RNAcentral's name for it is "partial 16S ribosomal RNA". It matches the Rfam family "Bacterial small subunit ribosomal RNA", at positions 524 to 776 of the family's 1533-position model. The record is from RNAcentral.
UACGUAGGGCGCAAGCGUUGUCCGGAAUUAUUGGGCGUAAAGAGCUCGUAGGCGGUUUGUCGCGUCUGCUGUGAAAACUCGAGGCUCAACCUCGGGCUUGCAGUGGGUACGGGCAGACUAGAGUGCGGUAGGGGUGACUGGAAUUCCUGGUGUAGCGGUGGAAUGCGCAGAUAUCAGGAGGAACACCGAUGGCGAAGGCAGGUCACUGGGCCGCAACUGACGCUGAGGAGCGAAAGCAUGGGGAGCAAACGGG